AUCACAAUUUCGGGGACAUUCGAUUUCGAACGAUACAGAGAAAAUUAGCAUGGCCCUUGCGCAAGGAUGACACGCACAAAUCGAGAAAUGGUAUCAGAGCAU
Molecule: small nuclear RNA, 102 nt
Organism: Juglans microcarpa x Juglans regia
Lineage: Eukaryota; Viridiplantae; Streptophyta; Magnoliopsida; Fagales; Juglandaceae
Source: RefSeq, a predicted model, not a curated record